AUGGGCAAGGACAAUAUUGCUAAUUUACUAACCUCUAUAAGAAACACCGACAUGGAUAAAAAAGGAACAAUUUCAGUAGUGUCUACAAAUAUUACCAAAAAUAUUGUUAAAAUACUUCUACGAGAGGGUUUUAUUGAAAGUGUUCAAAAACAUGAGGAACCUAACCGAUAUUUCUUGGUUUCAACUUUGCGACAUCAAAAGAGAAUGACUAGAAAACGAUUGUAUAGAAGACAAACCUUUUUUAAGUGUAUCGGCCGACCAAACUUCCGAAUUUAUACCAACUGUCAAGGAAUUCCUAAAGUUUUGGGUGGAAUGGAGCCGCUAUUCUUUCUACUUUUUGAGGGAUAA
This 348-nucleotide ribosomal RNA is filed under the name Triticum aestivum (bread wheat). RNAcentral's name for it is "partial small subunit ribosomal RNA". The record is from RNAcentral. Lineage: Eukaryota; Viridiplantae; Streptophyta; Magnoliopsida; Poales; Poaceae.